This 458-nucleotide unclassified non-coding RNA is filed under the name Phocine morbillivirus. Its description in RNAcentral is "partial N". Lineage: Riboviria; Orthornavirae; Negarnaviricota; Monjiviricetes; Mononegavirales; Paramyxoviridae. The record is from RNAcentral.
CAACUAGUGUCAGAAAUAGUAUCAAGAACAACCGAAGAUAGAACAACUAGGGCAACUGGUCCUAAACAAUCCCAGAUCACAUUUCUACACUCUGAAAGAAAUGAAGCACCUAACCAAAGACUCCCUCCCAUCACCAUGAAGUCUGAAUUCCAAGGAGGUGAUAAGUAUUCCAAUCAGCUCAUUGAUGAUCGGCUGUCUGGGUAUACUUCUGAUGUUCAAUCAUCUGAAUGGGACGAGUCACGCCAGAUCACACAAUUGACACAGGAAGGGGACCAUGACAAUGAUCAACAAUCAAUGGAGGCUCUCGCCAAAAUGAGACAGCUCACCAAGAUUCUAAAUCAGUCAGAUACAAAUGGGGAGGUCUCCCCUGCUUAUAAUGAUAGGGACCUGCUCAGCUAAGUUCUAAAAGACAUUGCAGAAUCAAAUGAAACAUGCAUCUUCAAGCCAAUUAUAAAAAA